CACCUACGGGAGGCAGCAGUGAGGAAUAUUGGUCAAUGGGCGGGAGCCUGAACCAGCCAAGUCGCGUGAGGGACGACGGUCCUAUGGAUUGUAAACCUCUUUUGUCGGGGAACAAAGGCGCCCACGGGUGGGCGGAUGAGUGUACCCGAAGAAAAAGCAUCGGCUAACUCCGUGCCAGCAGCCGCGGUAAUACGGAGGAUGCGAGCGUUAUCCGGAUUUAUUGGGUUUAAAGGGUGCGCAGGCGGAAGAUCAAGUCAGCGGUAAAAUUGAGAGGCUCAACCUCUUCGAGCCGUUGAAACUGGUUU
Molecule: ribosomal RNA, 305 nt
Filed under: uncultured bacterium
Lineage: Bacteria
Description: bacterial SSU rRNA
Rfam family: Bacterial small subunit ribosomal RNA
Source: RNAcentral